GCACCCACUAGAGCUCGCUAAAGCUGGAAUGAUACACGGAAGAUCAGCAUGAUCUCUGGGAGAGGAUGGUGUGCAAAUUCACGAAGCGGCCCAUCGUUAG
This 100-nucleotide small nuclear RNA is filed under the name Mus pahari (shrew mouse). Its description in RNAcentral is "predicted gene, 22523 (MGP_PahariEiJ_G0033749.1)". The record is from RNAcentral. Lineage: Eukaryota; Metazoa; Chordata; Mammalia; Rodentia; Muridae.